CCUACGGGAGGCAGCAGUGAGGAAUAUUGGUCAAUGGACGAGAGUCUGAACCAGCCAAGUCGCGUGAAGGAUGACGGCCCUAUGGGUUGUAAACUUCUUUUGUAUGGGAAUAAAACAGUGUAUGCAUACCCUCUUGGAUGUACCCUAUGAAAAAGGCUCGGCUAACUCCGUGACAGCAGCCCCGGUAAUACGGAGGAUCGGAGCGUUAACCGGAUUUUUUGGGUUUAAAGGGAUCGUAGGUGGGUAGUUAAGUCAGUUGUGAAAGUUUGCGGCUCAACCGUCGAAUGGCAGUUGAAACUGGCAGUCUUGAGUACAGUAGAGGUAGGCGGAAUUCGUGGUGUAGCGGUGAAAUGCUUAGAUAUCACGAAGAACUCCGAUUGCGAAGGCAGCUUACUGGACUGCAACUGACACUGAUGCUCGAAAGUGUGGGUAUCAAACAGGAUUAGAUACGCCUGUAGUC
Molecule: ribosomal RNA, 460 nt
Filed under: uncultured bacterium
Lineage: Bacteria
Description: partial 16S ribosomal RNA
Rfam family: Bacterial small subunit ribosomal RNA
Source: RNAcentral